Hyla sarda is the source of this 1330-nucleotide long non-coding RNA. RefSeq lists it as uncharacterized. The transcript is spliced from 6 exons. The record is from RefSeq and is a predicted model, not a curated record. NCBI's taxonomy places the organism in Eukaryota, Metazoa, Chordata, Amphibia, Anura, Hylidae.
AUAAAUAGAUAUAGUGCAGUGCGUUUUUUCCCUCUUUUUUUUUGCUCGUCAACCUCGGUAGCGGUGCCCCGCGAAAAAAAAAAUUUCCGAGGUGUGCCCCGACCCGAAAAAGGUUGGGAAACACUGCACUAACCUUACACACACGCUGUGAGUACACAGCGUGUGAGCUGCGGGGACGAGAUCCACUAAAGGCCGGCGUGAUGACGUCACAUCAUCGCGCCGGCGCCUGGAGGACCCGUCCCUGCGGCCUGCAUACUGUAAGUAAGGGUAUGCUCAGGGUCCAGGGGAUUAUGGAAACAGGAUAUGCGCCACUGUUAGGAGGAGGGGGGUCAGAGAAAAGGGAAUAUUUAAUGAGGGUCUGCAGCAGGGACGUGCACACAUAGGAGUGAAAGGGGGCUGGAGCCCCUGCCCUUUUCCUCACCUGCCCCUCUAGUGCCCUCACAAAAGGAGGUGCAGACUCAGGCUGACAAGUGAAGUAAAAAGGAUCCAUUGCUGGAGAUUUGUAUGUGGUUUAAUGGAGGGUGCUGUGCCCUCCCUGCAGCAAGGGGGCGCCACUCACCCUGUCAUUAUCUGCCAUUUCUUUGCUUCUCUCCACACGGAGGAGACAGGAGCAGAGGAGGCAGAGGGAGGCCCCGCCCACAACAUGUCCGGCCACAAACCAGUCUAAGCAGCCCUUACUAGGAUCAGAAUGCAUUGGCAUAGUGAGGAGACGUCUGGGCAUCAAGUUCUGCAGAGAGAAGUUUUAGCUGGAACAAAUCCUGGCGCCAAUCAGAGAGCAGCACUACAGAAAUAGAACUCCCAGGAGUGAGGGGCCGGUGCUGGACACUGUGUAGGGACGCGGGAAUGCAAAGUCAUACACAUGACUGUGACUGAUGCACUAUUUCCAGGACAUGGAGUAGCAUUUCCGGACCUACAGCAAGACGUUGGAUGAAGGCAUAGCCCCAGAAAUAACACUGGUCCUGUUCAUCAGUGAGGGGCCGGUGCUGGACACUGUGUAGGGACACGGGAAUGCAAAGUCAUGCACAUGACUGUGACUGAUGCACUAUUUCCAGGACAUGGAGUAGCAUUUCGGGACCUACAGCAAGACGUUGGAUGAAGGCACAGGCCUAGGAAUCAUGCACAUACACAGAAACAUUUGCCCAAAUUCUAGAGGUAACCUCCUUUAGUAUGCCCAGAGGAAGGGCCAUACAGUAGCCAUGGAUUCCCUACAGGUUUCCUCCCCUCUGGAGGUUUUUCCUGUCCUGAGUAUUAGUUACUGUACGCUCUUUGUGAGUGAUGGGAGGUUACAAAAAAUCCCCUACACAAACAUUUUAAUAAAUAAUAAAUAAAG